Vigna umbellata (rice bean) is the source of this 1548-nucleotide non-coding RNA. NCBI's taxonomy places the organism in Eukaryota, Viridiplantae, Streptophyta, Magnoliopsida, Fabales, Fabaceae. The record is from RefSeq and is a predicted model, not a curated record.
CUCUAGUGGUAGCAGCCGCUUUCUUUGCAAAUUGUCAAUAUCGCAGCUGUUACUUGAGGAAGUAUAAUUGUAGAGACAGAUGGAUCACUAUGGUUCUUCUGGCGGAAGCUGGACCAUGAUCCCAACUCACAAUUCAAAUGUCCAAUCCCAAUCGAACCAGGACCCUAACGUCUUUCUUCAACAACAACAACAACAACAAUUUCUCCAGCCACAACCUUUUCAGCAAGCAUUACAACCUCAGUCUCCAUUUCAACAGCACCAGCACCUUUAUCAGCAGCAACAACAACAGCAACGUCUACUACAACAACAACAGCAACAACAGCAGCAGCAGCAACAACAGAACCUUCACCAAUCACUGGCCUCUCACUACCAUCUCUUACAUUUGGUGGAGAAUUUGUCUGAGGUUAUUGAACAUGGAAACCCAGAUCAGCAAUCAGAUGCAUUGAUCAAUGAAUUGAGUAACCACUUUGAGAAGUGCCAACAGCUGUUAAACUCAAUCUCGGAGUCGAUUAGCACCAAGGCUAUGACAGUUGAAGGACAGAAGAAGAAGCUAGAGGAAAGUGAGCAAUUGCUAAAUCAGAGAAGAGACUUGAUUGCCAAUUACAGAAAAUCUGUGGAGGAGCUUGUUAGGUCUGAGCCAUAGAGAGUGUUAUCCAUUCAGAUAGGUAGGGAACUUUAACUGACUUUUUUUGCCUUGAUGUUUUAGUAGUGGUGUGGAUCACCAGUUUUCUACCUUAAAAUUCAGAUUAGCAAAAAUGCUAAUACUAUUUAUACACGAUAAGUACUUAAAGAUGCAUCUCUCAAUACACGUUCUGUAAUAUCUGCAAAUAUUAUAGGAUGAAUGUCUGUAGCCAUAGAAGAAUUUCAAUAUUCUUUACUGCAUUUUGAUUCUUUUUAAUUUGUAAGGUGGAAUACCCAGUUAUAGAAUCCAAUUGGGUGAUACUUAAAUAUAUUUUGGUUUUGAGUAGUCACAGGAAAUCUCUAUCUAAAAGACUUAGAAGCCACAAAUAAUAUUAAUUGAUGAACUAUGAAUUGCCUCUUUGAGAAAUCCACUUGUAAUUGUGUUUUGGUUUGAAAAUAUCGCAAUGUUUGUUUUAUAUGGUGUAAUUGAUUGAAAGUUCCAGUCCUGUUUUUAAAAUUUUUCCCUCCUAUGCACUGAUUUCAUGUAUCCAUUCAAGUUCUACUAGAAAGAAGGGGAGCAAAGUUGUUAGGUAUUUUCUUUUUUAAACAAGAAAAUGUAGCAUCCAUUCUAAAACACUCCUGGUUCAAGAAUGAGCGUGAAUGUAGAUGUGAGUGUUGUAAUUCUCCAUUCUCAUUCGGAUUAUUUAUGUUCAACCUUGGAGAUUUAAGCCUGUGCAUGAAUUUAUAAUUUAAUAGAUAUUCUGCAAGUUCCGUGUCAAGUUUUGGCCCAUGGAUGUCAAAGUUUGUAUCCAUGAAACAAGGUGAUUCUGACAAUUUGGAGCAAUGAGGAAUGUAAUGUUAAUGAUAUAUGAUACAAAAUUGGUUGCCUCCUAUUGGUGCCGUUUAUCUAUAAUGUUGAAUACAUAA